ACUACAAACAGUUGGGACAUCUGGAACGGGUUCAUGAAAGUUCCUCUGUCUGGUUCAGUGCCUGGUCACAGCAAGUUUUCCUGGCACAAGUGAGUGGAAAGAGCACUUUGGCAUGGAGAGGAAAUGAGCAGCGGAGGGUGAAAGGUGUCCUGGCAGGCACUUCCCAUUUGUGUCCUUAUCUCCCAGCCUCCAGCUGUCUUCAAAGGCUUCCCAGCUACUGUGUCCUGCAAGUUCAAAACCCUGCAGCCCUCUGGGACUGGAGAUGUGUGAAGGAGCACAAGGAUUGGAGUUGAAUGACAGUGUAAGUAUCAGUUGUCACUGCAAGGAAUGUUUCCCUCAUUUCCAGAAG
This 349-nucleotide long non-coding RNA is filed under the name Zonotrichia albicollis (white-throated sparrow). RNAcentral describes it as "lncRNA (ENSZALG00000003127.1)". The record is from RNAcentral. Lineage: Eukaryota; Metazoa; Chordata; Aves; Passeriformes; Passerellidae.